Erythrobacter sp. NAP1 is the source of this 73-nucleotide transfer RNA. It matches the Rfam family "tRNA". From Rfam's summary of the family: Transfer RNA (tRNA) molecules are approximately 80 nucleotides in length. Lineage: Bacteria; Pseudomonadati; Pseudomonadota; Alphaproteobacteria; Sphingomonadales; Erythrobacteraceae. The record is from Rfam.
GCCGGUUUAGCUCAGUUGGUAGAGCAGUUGAUUUGUAAUCAUCAGGCCAGGGGUUCGAAUCCUCUAACCGGCA